CACUGGACUGAGACACGGUCCAGACUCCUACGGGAGGCAGCAGUGGGGAAUAUUGCACAAUGGGCGCAAGCCUGAUGCAGCCAUGCCGCGUGUGUGAAGAAGGCCUUCGGGUUGUAAAGCACUUUCAGUCGUGAGGAAGGUAGUGUAGUUAAUAGCUGCAUUAUUUGACGUUAGCGACAGAAGAAGCACCGGCUAACUCCGUGCCAGCAGCCGCGGUAAUACGGAGGGUGCGAGCGUUAAUCGGAAUUACUGGGCGUAAAGCGCAUGCAGGUGGUUUGUUAAGUCAGAUGUGAAAGCCCGGGGCUCAACCUCGGAAUAGCAUUUGAAACUGGCAGACUAGAGUACUGUAGAGGGGGGUAGAAUUUCAGGUGUAGCGGUGAAAUGCGUAGAGAUCUGAAGGAAUACCGGUGGCGAAGGCGGCCCCCUGGACAGAUACUGACACUCAGAUGCGAAAGCGUGGGGAGCAAACAGGAUUAGAUACCCUGGUAGUCCACGCCGUAAACGAUGUCUACUUGGAGGUUGUGGCCUUGAGCCGUGGCUUUCGGAGCUAACGCGUUAAGUAGACCGCCUGGGGAGUACGGUCGCAAGAUUAAAACUCAAAUGAAUUGACGGGGGCCCGCACAAGCGGUGGAGCAUGUGGUUUAAUUCGAUGCAACGCGAAGAACCUUACCUACUCU
This 677-nucleotide ribosomal RNA is filed under the name Vibrio sp. a239. RNAcentral's name for it is "bacterial SSU rRNA". It matches the Rfam family "Bacterial small subunit ribosomal RNA", at positions 311 to 981 of the family's 1533-position model. The record is from RNAcentral. Lineage: Bacteria; Pseudomonadati; Pseudomonadota; Gammaproteobacteria; Vibrionales; Vibrionaceae.